ACACCGGCAGCCCAAGUGGUGGCCAUUUUUAUUGGGCCUAAAGCGUUCGUAGCCGGCCUGAUAAGUCCCUGGUGAAAUCCCGCAGCUUAACUGUGGGAAUUGCUGGAGAUACUAUCAGGCUUGAGGUCGGGAGAGGUUAGAGGUACUCCCAGGGUAGGGGUGAAAUCCUAUAAUCCUGGGAGGACCACCUGUGGCGAAGGCGUCUAACUGGAACGAACCUGACGGUGAGUAACGAAAGCCAGGGGCGCGAACCGGAUUAGAUACCCGGGUAGUCCUGGCCGUAAACGAUGUGGACUUGGUGUUGGGAUGGCCUCGAGCUGCCCCAGUGCCGAAGGGAAGCUGUUAAGUCCACCGCCUGGGGAGUACGGCCGCAAGGCUAAA
This 381-nucleotide ribosomal RNA is filed under the name uncultured archaeon. RNAcentral's name for it is "bacterial SSU rRNA". It matches the Rfam family "Archaeal small subunit ribosomal RNA", at positions 473 to 853 of the family's 1478-position model. The record is from RNAcentral.